Long non-coding RNA from Theobroma cacao (cacao), 315 nucleotides. RefSeq lists it as uncharacterized. The record is from RefSeq and is a predicted model, not a curated record. NCBI's taxonomy places the organism in Eukaryota, Viridiplantae, Streptophyta, Magnoliopsida, Malvales, Malvaceae.
AGAAGCUUUUAUUUCUCUUCCAGGUUCUCUUGGUUAUUUUUUUCCUUCUAGUCUCAGCCAUGGCUGCAAGGAACGUGGAAAGGACUGCCAAUACUUAUGAGAAAGCUGCAAGGGAGCUCAUUUAUAAACCUCAAAAGGAGGAUGAUCCUUGGGGGCAUGGUUAUAUCCCUCCAGUUACUAAACCAGAUCGAACAUAAUCUACUGCUAGCUAGUCAGCCUGCUGAUCAUACGUAUUGAUGUAUCAAAUAAUGUCAUUGUCUAGUACCGAGUGAAUAAAACAAAAGCUAAUGCUUCAGCAUUUAGCUUCUUGGUCCA